RNAcentral lists this ribosomal RNA (468 nucleotides) under uncultured bacterium. Its description in RNAcentral is "partial 16S ribosomal RNA". It matches the Rfam family "Bacterial small subunit ribosomal RNA", at positions 28 to 507 of the family's 1533-position model. The record is from RNAcentral.
GACGAACGCUGGCGGCGGGCUUAACACAUGCAAGUCGAACGGCAAGGCCCUGCUUUUGUGGGGUGCUGGGGUGGCGAAGGCGUGCGGAACACGUGAGUAACCUGCCCUAGACUUUGGGAUAGCUUAAGGUAGCUGAGGCUAAUACAGGAUAGGAGCUCCCGCUCGAUUGAGGGGGGGGGAACGUUUCGGCGGGUGCGGAUGGACGCGCGGCUUAUCAGCUUGUUGGUGGGGGAGUGGCUGACCAAGGCUUUGACGGGUACCCGGCCUGAGAGGGUGACCGGCCACAUUGGGACUGCGAGACGGCCCAGACUGCUACGGGAGGCAGCAGGGGCGAAUAUUGCACAAUGGGCGGAAGCCUGAUGCAGCAGCGCCGCGUGCGGGAUGACGGCUUUCGGGUUGUAAACCGCUUCCGCCUGUGACGAAGCGUGAGUGACGGUACUGGGUAAAGAAGCACCGGCUAACUACGUG